CCACGGCCUGCUCAAAGCUGUGGCUGGCGUGGUCGGAAAGGAGCCCAAAUUGACCUGUUUCCUUGGUGUUCGCUGUGCAGUGACACUUCAGGAACAUACACUG
Small nucleolar RNA from Chelydra serpentina (North American snapping turtle), 103 nucleotides. The record is from Ensembl. NCBI's taxonomy places the organism in Eukaryota, Metazoa, Chordata, Testudines, Chelydridae.